GUGCUCCAUCCCUGCAGGCUGAGGAGCAGCUCUGUCCUGGGGCUGUGAUGGACAAGGUGCUGGGAUCCCACGGGUGACUCAGGCAGCCACUCACUGCAGCAGGGGCUUGCCCCAGCCCGGCGGUGGAACAGCUGGGAUGUUCCCACUCACAUGAGAGAGCUGUUCAUGGGGAGUGGAAAAAGACAGCAGGCCUGUGACAUUUCAAGGUGACACUCAGCAGCAGAAGUUUCCGAGUAGAUGCGAGAGGGGGUUUCUGCUUUGCCUCAGAGGUGUGAGCAGCACGGGGGUUUCUGCAGAGCCACAGGGAGAAAGUGCAGCACUCGCUGCAGGGUGAGGAAAACUCACUGCAGGGUGAGCAGAACUCAGUGCAGGUGAGCAGCACGCAGUGGAGGGUGAGCAAAACUCACUGCAGGUUGAACAGCACUCAGUGCAGGUUGAGCAGCACUCAGUGCAAGGUGAGCAGCACUCAGUGCAGGGUGAGCAGCACAGUGCAGGGUGAGCAGCACUCAGUGCAGGGGGGGGGGGGGGGGGGGGGGGGGGGGGGGGGGGGGGGGGGGGGUGAGCAGCACUCACUGCAGGGUGAGCAGCACUCGCUGCAGGGUGAGGUCCCAACACAGACCCAUCAGCACUGUGUGCAGCACGGCCGGGUGCAGUGUCUGGAUUAGAUCCCAUUUUGGUCUCUGGCAGGUUGUCACGUGCUGAGCUCUGCCUCAGCAAUCCCUGCUCCCCCACACCUGACAGGGCUGAGCCGGCCUGAGGCGCCCAGCCCAGCCCACAGCAGCACAUCUCAGCUCAGAUGCCGUCUCUGGAGCUGGCUCUGGCCAUGGCGCAGCGCUGUGCCUGCAGGUGCUGCUGCGGGGGCUGCUGGAAGCUCUGACUCACCAUCUAUCACAGGCUGUUCCUGCCUCCUCUCUGGUGUUUUCAGAUUCCUCUGGUGCCAGAUCAAAGAAACAGGAGGGAUGCUGCUGCAAACAGCCCUUUAUUAGAAACAGUGGGUUUAGGACUGUGCAAGAGCAUAUUUCUCAUUACUAAUUUUCAGAGAGCGGAGCUGCCAGCCUAUGAAAGUGCUGCACAGUGGAAAAUUGCUCUUUGGGGGCUAAUGGGGCUUUCACAGUCACUGGGUGGG
This 1126-nucleotide long non-coding RNA is filed under the name Ficedula albicollis (Collared flycatcher). Its description in RNAcentral is "lncRNA (ENSFALG00000025424.1)". Lineage: Eukaryota; Metazoa; Chordata; Aves; Passeriformes; Muscicapidae. The record is from RNAcentral.